CGCAUGAGACCGAGAGGUGAAAGCGGGGUCGCAAGAUCUCGCGCUGAAGGAGGGGUCCGCGUCCGAUUAGCUAGUUGGUGGGGUAAUGGCCUACCAAGGCGACGAUCGGUAGCCGGCCUGAGAGGGUGAUCGGCCACACUGGAACUGAGACACGGUCCAGACUCCUACGGGAGGCAGCAGUGGGGAAUUUUGCGCAAUGGGCUAACGCCUGACGCAGCAACGCCGCGUGGAGGAUGAAGGUCUUUGGAUUGUAAACUCCUGUCAGCAGGGAAAAAGGGAGGCGACCUAAUACGUCGUUGACUUGAUUGUACCUGCAGAGGAAGCCCCGGCUAACUCUGUGCCAGCAGCCGCGGUAAUACAGAGGGGGCAAGCGUU
RNAcentral lists this ribosomal RNA (375 nucleotides) under uncultured soil bacterium. RNAcentral's name for it is "bacterial SSU rRNA". It matches the Rfam family "Bacterial small subunit ribosomal RNA", at positions 170 to 542 of the family's 1533-position model. The record is from RNAcentral.